UCCGGCUAACUUCGUGCCAGCAGCCGCGGUAAUACGAAGGGACCUAGCGUAGUUCGGAAUUACUGGGCUUAAAGAGCACGUAGGUGGUUAAGAAAGUUGGUGGUGAAAUCCCCAAGGCUUAACCUUGGAACUGCCACCAAAACUUUUUAACUAGAGUAUGAUUGAGGUAAGCGGAAUUUCUAGUGUAGAGGUGAAGUUCGUAGAUAUUAGAAAGAACACCAAUUGCGAAGGCAGCUUUCUGGAUCAUUACUGACACUGAGGUGCGAAAGCAUGGGUAGCGAAGAGGAUUAGAUACCCUCGUAGUCCAUGCCGUAAACGAUGUGUGCUAGACGUUGGGAAUUUAUUUUUCAGUGUCGCAGCAAAAGCGUUAAGCACACCGCCUGGGGAGUACGACCGCAAGGUUAAAACUCAAAUGAAUUGACGGGGACCCGCACAAGUAGUGGAGCAUGUGGUUUAAUUCGAAGAUACGCGCAGAACCUUACCAACACUUGACAUGUUCGUCGCGACUCUAAGAGAUUAGAGUUUUCGGUUCGGCCGGACGAAACACAGGUGCUGCAUGGCUGUCGUCAGCUCGUGUCGUGAGAUGUUGGGUUAAGUCCCGCAACGAGCGCAACCCUUACUUUUAGUUGCUACCAUUUAGUUGGGCACUCUAGAAGAACUGCCGGUGAUAAGCUGGAGGAAGGUGGGGAUGACGUCAAGCCCUCAUGGCCCUUAUGUGUUGGGCUACACACGUGCUACAAUGGUAUUUACAGUGGGAUGCAAAGAGGCAACUCCUAGCCAACCCUCAAAGAAUACCUCAGUUCGGAUUGUACUCUGCAACUCGAGUACAUGAAGCUGGAAUUACUAGUAAUCGCAGAUCAGCGCGCCGCGGUGAAUACGUUCCCGGGUCUUGUACACACCGCCCGUCACACCAUGGAAGUUGGUUACACCUUAAGGCAAAGUGUAAAACC
RNAcentral lists this ribosomal RNA (950 nucleotides) under uncultured prokaryote. RNAcentral describes it as "bacterial SSU rRNA". It matches the Rfam family "Bacterial small subunit ribosomal RNA", at positions 492 to 1441 of the family's 1533-position model. The record is from RNAcentral.